RNAcentral lists this long non-coding RNA (338 nucleotides) under Manacus vitellinus (golden-collared manakin). Its description in RNAcentral is "lncRNA (ENSMVIG00005004342.1)". Lineage: Eukaryota; Metazoa; Chordata; Aves; Passeriformes; Pipridae. The record is from RNAcentral.
UUGGACCUGAGGAUCUUGGAGGUCUUUUCCAACCUUAAUGAUUCAAUCUUGCUGCUGGGUGAAAGGCAGGUUGAAUGGGUGGCAUGGUCCUGUCUGACUGUGGUUAGCCUGGGGCUUGCAGAGAACCACAUCUAAGAGGGCUUAUGGCAAUGAGCACAUUACCCAUUUCACUGGGGGUUUUUUGUUUAUUUUGUUUGUUUGUUUAUUUGUUUUCCAGAGAGAAAGAGACAAAGAUGGGUUUAUUUCACCUCCAAACCAAAUACUUCAAAGAAAAAGAUCAUCCCUGCCAUUUUCCAGUGCCAUGCAAAAAGCAGAGGAAGUCAGACUAUGACUGUUGA